GUUUGGAAAGACUUCCAGCUUCAUCACGGAGUUUCUCUCGGUUUGUGGGCUCAUCUAAAGGUGAGUAACAGGAGGAGAAGAGUCUGUUGGUGCAACAGAGGAACAAUUUCAGCCAUUUGGACUCAGCUCAGCCACUACAUUGGAAACAAUGUCUUCAACACAAAAGGACCAACAUGGAGCGAGAAGUCAGCGCUUUCAGGAGGCCGACAAACCUCACAGAAGAAAGAGAGAGAAAACCUACAGCUGUGAUGAGUGUGGGAAGGAUUUUACCCUGGCUCAAAGCCUAAAAAGACACCAACUCAUCCACAGUGGAGUUAAACCGUACAGCUGUAAUGAGUGUGGGAAGGGUUUUACCCGGACUGGAAGUUUAAAAACACACCAACUCAUCCACAGUGGAGUUAAACCGUACAGCUGUGAUGAGUGUGGGAAGGGUUUUACCUGGACUGGAAGUUUAAAAACACACCAACUCAUCCACAGUGGAGUUAAACCUU
This is a long non-coding RNA of Oreochromis aureus, 491 nucleotides long. RefSeq lists it as uncharacterized. NCBI's taxonomy places the organism in Eukaryota, Metazoa, Chordata, Actinopteri, Cichliformes, Cichlidae. The transcript is spliced from 3 exons. The record is from RefSeq and is a predicted model, not a curated record.